This 368-nucleotide ribosomal RNA is filed under the name uncultured organism. Its description in RNAcentral is "bacterial LSU rRNA". It matches the Rfam family "Bacterial large subunit ribosomal RNA", at positions 2099 to 2465 of the family's 2925-position model. The record is from RNAcentral.
CUUUACUGUAGUUUGGAAUUGGGUUCGGGCUCUUCUUGCGCAGCCUAGGUGGGAGGCUAUGAAGAUAAACUUUUGGGUUUAUUGGAGCCAACAGUGAGAGACCACUCUAGAGGAGCUAGAAUUCUAAUGGCGUUCCUUGAAGCAGGACGCUUGACAGUUUCAGAUGGGCAGUUUGACUGGGGCGGUCACCUCCUAAAAGGUAACGGAGGUGUGCAAAGGUUCCCUCAGGCUGGACGGAAAUCAGCCGUAGAGUGUAAAGGCAGAAGGGAGCUUGACUGCAAGACCUACAAGUCGAGCAGGGGCGAAAGCCGGCCUUAGUGAUCCGACGGUUCCGAGUGGAAGGGCUGUCGCUAAACGGAUAAAAGUUA